Mercenaria mercenaria is the source of this 197-nucleotide long non-coding RNA. RefSeq lists it as uncharacterized. The record is from RefSeq and is a predicted model, not a curated record. Lineage: Eukaryota; Metazoa; Mollusca; Bivalvia; Venerida; Veneridae. The transcript has 2 exons.
GAGUACCCACGCGGUCGAUGUGGUUGGACUAAGUAUUGGUGCUGCAGAAGGUGGGGGCCUCAUUACGGCUAACACAAACGCCAGAAUACAGUGGGAUCACUGAUUUUUACAGGCACCUGUUUCAUCACAGUCAGAUUUUGUGGUCUUUUUUGUCACCUUUCUUCACAGAAAUAAAAUUCAUGAAAUAUCUAGACAAA